Molecule: unclassified non-coding RNA, 341 nt
Filed under: soil metagenome
Description: partial contains 5.8S ribosomal RNA, internal transcribed spacer 2, and large subunit ribosomal RNA
Rfam family: 5.8S ribosomal RNA (bases 1-119)
Source: RNAcentral
AUGAAGAACGCAGCGAAAUGCGAUAAGUAGUGUGAAUUGCAGAAUUCAGUGAAUCAUCGAAUCUUUGAACGCACAUUGCGCCCUUUGGUAUUCCAAAGGGCAUGCCUGUUCGAGCGUCAUUUGUACCCUCAAGCUUUGCUUGGUGUUGGGCGUCUUGUCUCUAGCUUUGCUGGAGACUCGCCUUAAAGUAAUUGGCAGCCGGCCUACUGGUUUCGGAGCGCAGCACAAGUCGCACUCUCUAUCAGCAAAGGUCUAGCAUCCAUUAAGCCUUUUUUUUCAACUUUUGACCUCGGAUCAGGUAGGGAUACCCGCUGAACUUAAGCAUAUCAAUAAGCGGAGGA